This 56-nucleotide transfer RNA is filed under the name Tyrophagus longior. RNAcentral's name for it is "tRNA-His". The record is from RNAcentral. Lineage: Eukaryota; Metazoa; Arthropoda; Arachnida; Sarcoptiformes; Acaridae.
AUUAGUUAGUUUAAAGCAACAAUAUUAGUUUGUGGACCUAACGAAUUUCGCUAGUC